This 253-nucleotide ribosomal RNA is filed under the name uncultured bacterium. RNAcentral's name for it is "partial 16S ribosomal RNA". It matches the Rfam family "Bacterial small subunit ribosomal RNA", at positions 524 to 776 of the family's 1533-position model. The record is from RNAcentral.
UACGUAGGCAGCAAGCGUUGUUCGGAGUUACUGGGCGUAAAGGGUGCGUAGGCGGCCCUGUAAGUAUGGUGUGAAAUCUCCCGGCUUAACUGGGAGGGUGCGCUAUAGACUGCGGGGCUCGAGUGUGGGAGAGGAAAGUGGAAUUCCUGGUGUAGCGGUGAAAUGCGUAGAUAUCAGGAGGAACACCUGCGGUGUAGACGGCUUUCUGGACCAUUACUGACGCUGAGACACGAAAGCGUGGGUAGCAAACAGG